AUUGAACGCUGGCGGCAUGCUUUACACAUGCAAGUCGAACGGUAACAGGUCUUCGGAUGCUGACGAGUGGCGAACGGGUGAGUAAUGUAUCGGAACGUGCCCAGUAGUGGGGGAUAACUACUCGAAAGAGUGGCUAAUACCGCAUGAGAACUGAGGUUGAAAGCGGGGGACCUUCGGGCCUCGCGCUACUGGAGCGGCCGAUAUCAGAUUAGGUAGUUGGUGGGGUAAAGGCCUACCAAGCCGACGAUCUGUAGCUGGUCUGAGAGGACGACCAGCCACACUGGGACUGAGACACGGCCCAGACUCCUACGGGAGGCAGCAGUGGGGAAUUUUGGACAAUGGGCGCAAGCCUGAUCCAGCCAUGCCGCGUGCGGGAAGAAGGCCU
RNAcentral lists this ribosomal RNA (385 nucleotides) under uncultured bacterium. RNAcentral's name for it is "bacterial SSU rRNA". It matches the Rfam family "Bacterial small subunit ribosomal RNA", at positions 30 to 417 of the family's 1533-position model. The record is from RNAcentral.